Molecule: ribosomal RNA, 274 nt
Filed under: uncultured bacterium
Lineage: Bacteria
Description: partial 16S ribosomal RNA
Rfam family: Bacterial small subunit ribosomal RNA
Source: RNAcentral
AUACGGAGGGUGCAAGCGUUAUUCGGAAUCACUGGGCGUAAAGGGUGCGUAGGCGGUUUGAUAAGUCUGAUGUGAAAUCCUAUGGCUCAACCAUAGAACUGCAUUGGAAACUGUCAGACUAGAAUACUGAAGGGGCAGAUGGAAUUAGUGGUGUAGGGGUAAAAUCCGUAGAAAUCACUAGGAAUACCGAAAGCGAAAGCGAUCUGCUGGGAAGUUAUUGACGCUGAGGCACGAAAGCGUGGGGAGCAAACGGGAUUAGAAACCCUAGUAGUCC